GAUGAACGCUGGCGGCGUGCCUAAUACAUGCAAGUCGAGCGAACAGACGAGGAGCUUGCUCCUCUGACGUUAGCGGCGGACGGGUGAGUAACACGUGGAUAACCUACCUAUAAGACUUGGAUAACUUCGGGAAACCGGAGCUAAUACCGGAUAAUAUUUUGAACCGCAUGGUUCAAUAGUGAAAGACGGUUUUGCUGUCACUUAUAGAUGGAUCCGCGCCGCAUUAGCUAGUUGGUAAGGUAACGGCUUACCAAGGCAACGAUGCGUAGCCGACCUGAGAGGGUGAUCGGCCACACUGGAACUGAGACACGGUCCAGACUCCUACGGGAGGCAGCAGUAGGGAAUCUUCCGCAAUGGGCGAAAGCCUGACGGAGCAACGCCGCGUGAGUGAUGAAGGUCUUCGGAUCGUAAAACUCUGUUAUUAGGGAAGAACAAAUGUGUAAGUAACUAUGCACGUCUUGACGGUACCUAAUCAGAAAGCCACGGCUAACUACGUG
This 497-nucleotide ribosomal RNA is filed under the name uncultured bacterium. Its description in RNAcentral is "partial 16S ribosomal RNA". It matches the Rfam family "Bacterial small subunit ribosomal RNA", at positions 28 to 507 of the family's 1533-position model. The record is from RNAcentral.